AAGUGCAAUACCUGCGUCGACCUGUGACGAGCAGCAAAACACCGGAAAGCUUCUAGCCUACCGGAAAAUUACAAGAAGAACAAGAAUGGUUACCUCAUCCGGUCAUGUGACAUUUGUUGUUUUAUAGAUUUUUCGCCCACACCAGAUGUCUAGACCCUGAAUAGAUAACAGGGACCCUAGGACGGACGUAAAGGAGUUGAGGAAAUCCUGUUGACAGACAAUCAGAUCUGCGUGUGGAGGAGGAUGAAGACCUUUAGUUACGUGCAGGACAUAGUAAAACACUGACAUGCAGCUUUUCUCAGACGAGUGGUUACUAUGUGAAGGAAUGUGUUUGGAUUGGAAGUUGUCUCUUUAUGUUUCUUUUGAGAUGGUAUGGCCUCUGAGGACCCCCAAGACCAACUGGAUGAGGCUAUUAAAAAGGCAGAACGCCUUGCUGAGGAGCUCAACCAAGAGAAGGACCCACAAGCCCAACUGGACGAGGCCAUUAACGAGGCAAAAAGGCUGGCUGAGGAGCUCAGCCCAGAGCGGGAAAUGUAACAAGUCGUACAUUACCAGUAAUGUAACCCCUAUAGCUCCCAUACGUGCACAAAUAUUCUUAACACAACCCCAGCACCACAGCGUUAUGAUUUAUCAUUGCUUUUUGUUUGUCAAAGAAGACCCCACAUAGCACAAAUGUGAAUUUAAACGUAGACUCUGUGAUAUGACCUGAACACGGGCAUCAAUGAUAUUGCCCAUGAAGCAUGAGGCACAAGGGUGCACUUGUUAGCAUCCUUGUGAACUUCUAUACAUAUUAGCUGUGUGAGUGAGCCAGAACGUGGGUCUACUGCAGGUGCCUUUCCUCAGCUGACAAAUCACUUCACCUUAUGUGAAAAUAUAAUUCUUGCUUGUGCUCCAUAUGUGCACAAACAAGCCAUGCGUGAGGGAGACUUUUAUUAGUGGGCCAGCCAUGAUAAUUGAAAUGCACUUUUUAGGAAAAUAAGAAGAAAAAGACAAACAAGCCUCCAGGGAUUAGGUUCAGAUGGAGACAAAGGGAUGAGAGAGGACAGAUUGUUCCUCAAACCAGGAAGGCAACUACAUCCACUUCUCUUGCUCCAAGGGCCAGUACAUCAAGAGCCAGACUAGUGCAACAUUUUGGGCCAGUCACUGAGGAGGAAGAAUCAGAGACAAGGACCAGUGGAUUGGAAUCCACUCCAGUUUUAAACAUUGAUGAAGAAAUAGGUAUGUUUAAAUUGUUUUACUUUCAAAAUUGGGGUCAUCUUGGUGUUACUGAAUUAUACUGCACUACAUCUUUAUUUUGACAGUGAUGCAACAUUUUUAAAUGUGGCUCUAGUCUCCAGAAUUUCGGAUUUGAGAUCAAAUGUUUGAUAUGAGUUUACAGUACAGAAUGUCACCUUUUGUUUCAGGGUAUUUUCAGACUUUUCUGAUUUAUCAUUUUGAAAUGAAAGCACUUUAUAUGUCUAGUUGCAAGUUUUAUUAGUCGUAUGUACAGGAUACUGAUGGUAACACCACCCAACGAAAUGCUUACUUGCAGGUAGCUUCUCGACAAUGCAAUUCAAAAUGCUGGAGUAUAGAGACAAAUUCAACAUUUUACCGUCACUGUCCAAAUACUUCUGUAGGGGAGUGCAAUAGCAACAUCCGGGCAGAGCUUUUUCCUGCACAUUUCCUUUAAUAUGAAGCAAUCUGCCAUUCACACAUUAUGGAAUUAGUCUUAGUUGAAUUCAUUCAAAUCCACUAUUGGAAUGUUUACACAGUGUUGUUCCUUUUGCAACCACAGUCUGUAAUUGUGGAAGCUGGAAGCAUCUGCUUUUGAGGAGAGUUUACUCUGUAGUUAAAAUAUACUGAGUGUACAAAAUAUUCCUAAUAUUGAGUUGCACUCCCUUUUGCCCUCAGAACAGCCUCAAUUCGUCAGGACAUGGACUCUACAAGGUGUCGAAAGCGUUCCACAGGGAUGCUGGCCCAUGUUGACUCAAAUGCUUCCCACAGUUGUGUCAAGUUGGCUGGAUGUCCUUUGGGUUGUGGACCAUUCUUGAUAUACACAGGAAAAUGUUAAUCAUGAAAAACCCAGCAGCGUUGCAGUUCUUGAUACAAACCGUUGGACCUGGCACCUACUACCAUACCCCCUUCAAAGGCACUUCAAUAUUUUGUCUUUCCCAGUCACCCUCUGAAUGGCACACAUACACAAUCCAUGUCUCAAUUGUCUCAAGGAUUAAACAUCCUCCCCUUUAUCUACACUGAAAUGGAUUUAACAGUUGACAUAAAUAAGGGAUCAUAGCUUUCACCUAGUCAGUUUGUCAGGGAAAGAGAAUGUUUUGUACACUCAGUGUGUUUUUGCUGUUUUAAGAACAUUCCGAAUUUCUAUUCGACGAUGGGAUCAAGUUCUAUUGUUUGAUAUUCCAAUUUAGACUUUACUCAAUAUUUUGGUCUGCCCUGUAAUUUAAUUUACUGUAGAAUCAAAGCUGGGAUUUUUGGCUUGUCACACCAUAGAUUGUGCAGAGAUAUAUUUGCUGUCACCUACUUACAGCCUUAUGUGCGUUUUAACAGAUUAAUUUAAUCCUUUUCCCAUUUUGUGUUUUCAAAAAAGCAAUACUUAGUUGAGAAAUUAACAUCCUCCUAGCUGACUUAGAAGAUGCUGAGUGUUCAAAUCCUGCUGUGCCUGGUGCAUCACACAGUUGGAGUGUGAGGAAGGAACUCUCACAGGAUAGGUGGAGGGAGUCCAGGCCUGAGAUUGUAGAUUCUCUGCUGGCUGCAGAGCAUGCUUCUUAGAUCUGUCAGUCAUGCAAUGUGAAAAGGGCUAUUCUGCGAUGUAGAGACUGUCUGCUAAAACAGCUUUACUGCGAAGACUGCGAUGUCUCUACACAUGCAAAGUUCCCCCUGCACAAGAAACAGUCCAUGAUCGAGGGAUUCUACACGCCCCUUCCUCCAACUACAGCCAUAUCGCUCCACGGUGAUGGCAAAUAUGCACUUCAUGUCGCUACAAUGUCACAGUGCCUGUGCUGACCUGCACAACCUGUCUUAGCACCUGGACAGCAAACUUGGCAGAUCUGAUAAAGAAUGGGUACUGGCCUGCCACUGUCAACUUUGACACCAUAUACCAGGUAGAUUUGUUCAGCUCUUUUGAGGAGCUGAAAGUGUCAGCCCCAGGAAUGUCCCGUCUGGCGUUUAUGCGGAUUUUGGAGCAGCGAACUGACUUCUUUGGCAGGAACGGAAUGAUCUGUGGGGACACUUUUCAAAAAAGCUUCUUUGAGUGGACGUACUGCCGCUCUGAAAUUGAUCAGGUCUGUGAUAUACAGUACUUUGACUGCCCAGCCUGUUCCCCCGGCAUGCUUGCAGUGUCAGUGGAUGGGAACAAGAAGCUGUAUCGAUUCACAAAAGGGGUUAUGGAAAAGGGCUAUGUGGAGCAUCCCAGUGGACAGCAGCUAAAGAGUCGUCAAGGAAAACAAACAACAAACUUGAUGAAGAGGGACUCGAAGUUGCCGUCUGCCGCCACGGAAUACUUCUAAGGAGCCUCAACAUGAUGCGUGGAGAGAUAUUUGCUGUUCUUGCAGAAGGAAUUGUCUGGCAGCAGGAACAUACAAUUCAUGUGUACGGAUGUGAUCUGCAAAUUCAUUGCCCUUCAUUGUCCAGAGCUCGCCACUCUUCUAGACAUGAAGACACUUCUUUCCGUCAUGCAUGCAAAGGCACAUCGUUUGAAAUGCGAGCAAGAACAGACAUGCUAACCAUCCAGGCCAUGGGGUGGAACAGAAGGAAGAAGAACAACCUGCACAGAGUAUUGUCCAGAAGAUACUUGAAGACAACAUCAAAAAUCCAGGAAGAGACCCAGACUCUCGAAAAAUUUUAAGAGGGAUUUGGGUGUAGGCGAUGAGACUCUGUACAACUGGUCAACGGAAGUUCAGCAAUGGGCUAAUACAGAGGAAACAAAUGAGAACAUGGAUGGUCCCCAGGUACUACAGAGAACAAUUGAAGUCCUGUUUCUUAGCAUCAAACAAAGGAAACAGAACCUCUACCGUCAGACAGGACAGAUGGAUGCAAGAAAAGACACCUUCUGCACAGAAAGAUAUUGCAAGAAAAGGCCAAAUUGACAGCUGCCAUAGAGGAGUACAACACCCUUGUACCAGAUUCAGCAAUACCAUCUGCAGAUGAGAUCCUUUCCGCAGACCUUCAUGCAUGGCCUUGGGAGCUGCAUGGACAAACUGACCUACUCACAAAGAAAAAAGCUGUUGACUGGGUGAUGCUCCUGAGACGGCUGAAGGAGGACUCAACUCAAAAUGGUGUACUCUAAUGUCAAAGUGGACGAAAAUACGAAAAUAUAGAUUUUUUUACAAAGGCAUGCCUAAAUUAGUUCACAAGUUCAAUUUGGCUUAAAAAAAUCACAUAAUAUGUUAUAUGGACUCAAUGGGGGUUAACAUUAUUUUUGAAUAACUAUCCAUACCUCUGUACCCCAUACAUAGAACAUCUGUAAGGUCCCUCAGUCAGGUAUUGAAUUUCAAGCAACAAAGACCAGGGAGCUUUUUGAAAGCCUCAUAAAGAAGGACAGUGAUUGGUAGAUGGGUAACAAUAACAAAUCAGACAUUGCAUAUCUCUUUAAGCAUGUCUCUUUAACCGAGGAUGGAUCAACAUCAUUGUAGUAACGCCACAAUAGUGACUUUAAUUACAGUGAAAAGAAGAAUACAAAUAUACAGAAGAGAAAAAAAAUCUAGUCAUGCAUCUUGUAUGCAAUAAGGCACUGGAGUUAGUACUGAAAAAAACUGCAAAGGAAUAUACUUUUUGGUCUAAAUACAAAGCCUGUUUUCCACCAGACACUGGGAGAGGAAACGACCUUUCAGCAGGACAAUAACCUACAACACAAUGACAAAUCUACACUGGAGUUGCUUACCAAGAAGACAGUGAAUGUUCCUGAGUUGCCAAGUUCAAGUUUGGACUUAAAUUUGAUUGGAAAUCUAUUGCAAGACUAUUUAAAUUGUUGUCUAUACAUGAUCCCCAACAAAUUGACAGAGCUUGAAGAAUUAUAAAAAGAAUAAUGGUCUAAGUUUGCACAAUCCUGGUUUGUUAAGCUCUAAAAAUACUUACCCAAGAAGACUCACAGCUGUAAUCACUGUCAAAGGCGUUUCCAAGGGGUCUGACUACUUUUGCAAGGCACUGUAACGUCCAAUACCAAGGUACAGCCAAAACCAUAUGUAUUUGGUGGGUGAAGCUAAAAUUUGAAAUUUGGAUCUAUACUCCAGAAUUUAGUAUUUUAAAUAAAAGGUUUCAUGUACUAUAACUUUAAUACACUUUAAGUGAAUUUGUCCAAAUACUUAUGGCUUCUUCAAAUUGGGGGGACUAUAUACAUAAAGUGAUUUCCUUUCUAAAUUGUGAAAAGGUGACCUGUACUAUCGCCUCGUAUGAAACAUUUGAUCUCAAAUCCAAAAUUCUGGAGUUUAGAGUCAAAUUGUACAUUUUAGCUUCACUGUCCAAAUACAUAUGGUGUUGGUUGUACAGUAUAUCCUCAAUUCGUUCUAGGAGAUUAGUUGAAGUAACAUACCAUCCAGAGCAUGGCUUCCACCUCACUUUCUGCUCCUGACCCUUUAUUAUGCAACAAAUAGAAAUGUCUGUUUUAUUUUAAAGCUGCACUAUGCAGAAAUGGCUCCACAAUGUCAUGGUAGCUAAUAUCAGCUGUUUGAAGCUGUUGUACAAAACCAAAGUAAAAGACUCAAUAACAAAACUUAAGAACGGGAAGCAUAGAAAUAACGCACACUGUAGAACAGAUCUACCGCUUCUUAGACUUGCUUUCAAGUAGAAUGAUGAUCUGUAACUAACAUUUCUAUAUGAAUUUGGUCGGGCCACCCAAAACGUUACCUAUUGCCACUUUAACUACAAGGUCUAUGCACUGCAAGUUAACUACAAUUGGUGUUGCACUAGGAUUAGCCUGUAAAUACAAUCACAGGAAUUUCAAUGUUCUGCCGAUUACCUCCUUUGAAGUUCUAUUGGCAAGAAUCUUCUGAAUAGGGAAAAUUCUUUGCCACGGAUGCACUGGACACUCUGAAACAAUAAAUGCAUGUAUUUAUUUAAUCACCACCCACCAGAACAUGAAUAAAGUUAGCGGGACAGUCA
Molecule: non-coding RNA, 6090 nt
Organism: Salmo salar (Atlantic salmon)
Lineage: Eukaryota; Metazoa; Chordata; Actinopteri; Salmoniformes; Salmonidae
Source: RefSeq, a predicted model, not a curated record